Long non-coding RNA from Micropterus dolomieu (smallmouth bass), 1702 nucleotides. RefSeq lists it as uncharacterized. The transcript is spliced from 3 exons. The record is from RefSeq and is a predicted model, not a curated record. NCBI's taxonomy places the organism in Eukaryota, Metazoa, Chordata, Actinopteri, Centrarchiformes, Centrarchidae.
UCAACACACCCAGUUCAGAGGUUUGCUAGUGGGAUAAUGGUGUUGUCAUAUGGCCUACCCAUACCCCAUCAUUCUCAGAGAUUGAAUAACUACAUGAGUAGCUAAUCCUGGAACAGGGAGCCUGGUGGAAACAAAGGAGUUGGAGCAGACAAAUGAGGCAGCCCAUGGCGUAUGACAGUCCCAGAGAAAAAUGAUCAAAUUUCCCAGCUCUCCCUCUGGUACAGCCUGUCCAGUCCAGACUCCUCCUCCUCCGAGCCUCACCGCUUGCUAGCCAUACUCCAUGACCAUAAUGAAACAAGAGGAAACACGUCAGAAAAGAGAGGAGGGAGUGUUGUUUUUUAUUCUCUUCACUGGUUUUCAUGAGAGCCAGAUGGAACAAUUAAUCCCCAAUCAACACAGGAAUAUUAAGUAGCCUUAACUCCUGCAUGAGGGACUUUACCAUCCUUGUUGUGUCCCCAUGGCUAAUGUCUAUCCAGCUAAACACACUGCUUCAGUUAGCUGUGUGGAUCUGUUGUCCUAUCUGACAGAUGGGAAGGGUUUCUAUAAGCCUGGCUGCAGCUUCUUAGAAAUUCUUCAGCUAUUCCAACACUGAAGAUCUGCCUCCAGCACAGAUCUUGAGCUUUACUCUCUGCAAAGUGCAUUAUCAACUCGCAUGCCUAAAGAUGCUGAAGGUUUGAGGACAAGCAAGAAAGAACAAACACGCAGCAGCUUAGCUCGCAUCCUCAGGCAUCUCCUCCGUCAGUGCUUUUGUCUCAUCGACUGCUGCCUCCCAUCAAUAUAUCCAAAGGCAGAGGGUAGAAUGUGGUGACAGUGGUACUAAAAUGGGACCAGUUUAUCUGUUAAGAUGUCAGCUUCAGCCACAUCUGAUGCUGCUUCUGCUGAGGGACCACUUCUAUGGGAGGUACAGACACUGCCGACAGCUUGCAAGGGAUUACUGAUAGACGUGAUUGAUGGAUUUCUUCUGCAAGGAGAAACGGCAGCCUCAGGCAGUCAAUGCUGAUAGUCCAUUAGCUUUUUUAUGCCUUCGAAUUAACUGCAUACAUUGCUUUAUGGCUUGCAUGUAGCACUUUGAAUCUUAAUUAAAUGUUUUUGUUUUCAGUUUUAUAGAGUUUAUGCUGCGCACAAGGAUAAAGUGUUUGUCUUCACUCAUAUCCUGGUUGAGCACUAAUUUAAAUGAAGAAAGGUCAUGCUUUCUAUUUCAGCUACACCGACAAGUAAACAAAGCUUUCAGUGGCAGAAGAAAGAGCAUCAGAGGCUCAUAUUUAACUGGUGUGUAUAACCUUGUGUGGCGUGCCUAACAUCUGUACAUGCAGCAAGCAUCCGUUACACAGAGUCUGUAUCUCCUGUGUGCAGUCACCUGCUGGUUUGAGUGGCAGCCUGUGGGGUGUUAAGUGUAUGCAGGCAGAUGGAGAAAGUGUAACAUGUAGGUCAUCCAACCUCUGGAGUGUUUUGCUUACAGACGUCAAUUACACGCCUGUUGUAUCUCAUCAUCUUUUGGGAAAAGGCAACACGACCCCUAAGCGUUAGGGUUCGGUCAGCUGUGUGGAGCUUUCAGAUAAAACAGUUGGAGGAGAAAGGAGUCUGUGAUGGUGCCAGAGGAGGGGGUGGUACAGUAGAUGGGGCAAAGGAAGCAUGGCCACUAGAGCUAUGCUGUGAAGAUAGAGCACUUAAAAUGUGGAUAGACGGUAAACUCCCAUUUCAA